GAUGAAGAACGUAGCGAAAUGCGAUAAGUAAUGUGAAUUGCAGAAUUCAGUGAAUCAUCGAAUCUUUGAACGCACCUUGCGCUCCUUGGUAUUCCGAGGAGCAUGCCUGUUUGAGUGUCAUGAAAUUCUCAACCUUUUCAGCUUUCUUUGUUGAUCAGGCUUGGAUGUGGGAGUAUGCGGGCUUCUCAGAAGUCGGCUCUCCUGAAAUGCAUUAGCGGGACCUUUGUUGCCUGGCUUUGGUGUGAUAAUUAUCUACGCCAUUGUAGUCAAGCAGCUUAAAAUGAGGUUUCAGCUUCUAACCGUCUCCCCUGAGACAACUUUUUGACAAUUUGACCUCAAAUCAGGUAGGACUACCCGCUGAACUUAAGCAUAUCAAUAGGCGGAGGA
RNAcentral lists this unclassified non-coding RNA (387 nucleotides) under soil metagenome. Its description in RNAcentral is "partial contains 5.8S ribosomal RNA, internal transcribed spacer 2, and large subunit ribosomal RNA". The stretch from base 1 to 120 matches the Rfam family "5.8S ribosomal RNA", at positions 35 to 154 of the family's 154-position model. The record is from RNAcentral.